UCAACCAUCAAGCCUAGCUUGUUGUUGGACUUUGUAGUUGAAAUAAUAUGGCAAGUCCGAAAAAUAAUGACGGUGUCGUGUUUGACCCUAAAUGCAACGAGCUUUCAUAAGCACGCAUUCAAGUGGUUAACCGACCCAGUCUUAACUAUAUAUUUUCUAA
RNAcentral lists this unclassified non-coding RNA (160 nucleotides) under uncultured Chaetothyriales. RNAcentral's name for it is "sequence contains ITS2". The record is from RNAcentral. Lineage: Eukaryota; Fungi; Ascomycota; Eurotiomycetes; Chaetothyriales.